UGAGAGGGCCGGUCAGCUGCGCUCGUAAGAGUGAGGAAAGUCCGGACACCACAGGGCAUGAUGCCGGGUAACACCCGGGCGCUGCGAAGCGACGGAAAGUACAGCAGAAAACAUACCGCCUCCGGUAGAUUCGGGCUUCGUGCUCAUAAUCUUCCGCAGGUAAGGGUGAAAAGGCGAGGUAAGAGCUCACCGCGUUUUUUGAGAAAAAAACGGCAGUGUAAACCCCAUCUGGUGCAAGACCAAGCAGGAAUCGUUAUAGGCUGCCCGCUGAAGAUUCCGGGUAGGUUGCUGGAUGCAGUCAGUAAUGACUGCACAAGAUAGAUAGCUGACUAUUACAGAAUCCGGCUUACAGGCUCUCUCAAUAU
RNAcentral lists this RNase P RNA (365 nucleotides) under Spirochaetota bacterium. RNAcentral describes it as "Spirochaetes bacterium (freshwater sediment metagenome) RNase P RNA component class A". It matches the Rfam family "Bacterial RNase P class A". Rfam says of the family: Ribonuclease P (RNase P) is a ubiquitous endoribonuclease, found in archaea, bacteria and eukarya as well as chloroplasts and mitochondria. Its best characterised activity is the generation of mature 5'-ends of tRNAs by cleaving the 5'-leader elements of precursor-tRNAs. Cellular RNase Ps are ribonucleoproteins. The record is from RNAcentral. Lineage: Bacteria; Pseudomonadati; Spirochaetota.